This 801-nucleotide ribosomal RNA is filed under the name uncultured bacterium. RNAcentral describes it as "bacterial SSU rRNA". It matches the Rfam family "Bacterial small subunit ribosomal RNA", at positions 8 to 828 of the family's 1533-position model. The record is from RNAcentral.
AGAGUUUGAUCCUGGCUCAGGACGAACGCUGGCGGCGUGCCUAACACAUGCAAGUCGAGCGAUGAAACCCUUCGGGGUGGAUUAGCGGCGGACGGGUGAGUAACACGUGGGUAACCUGCCUCAAAGAGGGGGAUAGCCUCCCGAAAGGGAGAUUAAUACCGCAUAACAUUAGUUUUUCGCAUGAAGAACUAAUUAAAGGAGUAAUCCGCUUUGAGAUGGACCCGCGGCGCAUUAGCUAGUUGGUGAGGUAAAGGCUCACCAAGGCGACGAUGCGUAGCCGACCUGAGAGGGUGAUCGGCCACAUUGGAACUGAGACACGGUCCAGACUCCUACGGGAGGCAGCAGUGGGGAAUAUUGCACAAUGGGCGAAAGCCUGAUGCAGCAACGCCGCGUGAGUGAUGAAGGCCUUCGGGUUGUAAAGCUCUGUCUUUUGGGACGAUAAUGACGGUACCAAAGGAGGAAGCCACGGCUAACUACGUGCCAGCAGCCGCGGUAAUACGUAGGUGGCGAGCGUUGUCCGGAUUUACUGGGCGUAAAGGAUGCGUAGGCGGAUAUUUAAGUGAGAUGUGAAAUACCCGAGCUUAACUUGGGUGCUGCAUUUCAAACUGGAUAUCUAGAGUGCGGGAGAGGAGAAUGGAAUUCCUAGUGUAGCGGUGAAAUGCGUAGAGAUUAGGAAGAACACCAGUGGCGAAGGCGAUUCUCUGGACCGUAACUGGCGCUGAGGCAUGAAAGCGUGGGUAGCAAACAGGAUUAGAUACCCUGGUAGUCCACGCCGUAAACGAUGAGUACUAGGUGUAGGAG